Non-coding RNA from Arthromyces matolae, 82 nucleotides. Lineage: Eukaryota; Fungi; Basidiomycota; Agaricomycetes; Agaricales; Lyophyllaceae. The record is from the annotation of a GenBank genome assembly.
AGCACUUUAGCUUAGUGGUUAAAGCAUUUUCGUGGGAACAAAUGUCUGCGAGAAGACGUCGGUUCGAUUCCGGCAAGUGUGG